RNAcentral lists this ribosomal RNA (480 nucleotides) under uncultured bacterium. Its description in RNAcentral is "bacterial SSU rRNA". It matches the Rfam family "Bacterial small subunit ribosomal RNA", at positions 25 to 518 of the family's 1533-position model. The record is from RNAcentral.
CAGAACGAACGCUGGUGGCGUGUCUUAUACAUGCAAGUCGAGCGAGGCAGCAAUGCCUAGCGGCGAACGGGUGAGUAAUGCGUAAGCAAUCUGCCCCAUAUCAGGAAAUACCCGUGCCAACGCGCGGUUAAUGUCCAGGAGCGUGGCCUUCCGCAUGGGAGGUUGACAAGAGAUUUAUCGGUAUGGGAUGAGCUUGCGUCCGAUUAGCUAGUUGGCGGGCAACGGCCCACCAAGGCGACGAUCGGUAGCCGGCCUGAGGGGGUGAUCGGCCACAUUGGGACUGAGAUACGGCCCAGACUCCUACGGGAGGCAGCAGUAGGGAAUAUUGCACAAUGGGGGAAACCCUGAUGCAGCAACGCCAACGUGUGGGAAGAAGCAUUUCGGUGUGUAAACCACUGUCGUGAGGGAAUAAGGCGUCUUCUCGGAGACGUUGAAUGUACCUCGAAAGGAAGCACCGGCAAACUUCGUGCCAGCCGCUGC